GCGUCGUACUUGCGACAAGUCUAUCGGGAAAUCCACCUGCCCAACAGGUGGGCGUCCGGUAGAAACUGGCCGGCUUGGAACCGGAAGGCUCAGAGAGUACGUCCGGGGUAGGAGUGAAAUCCCGUAAUCCCGGACGGACUACCGAUGGCGAAAGCACUCUGAGAAAACGGAUUCGACAGUGAGGGACGAAAGCUCGGGUCUCAAACC
This 207-nucleotide ribosomal RNA is filed under the name uncultured archaeon. Its description in RNAcentral is "partial 16S ribosomal RNA". It matches the Rfam family "Archaeal small subunit ribosomal RNA", at positions 515 to 725 of the family's 1478-position model. The record is from RNAcentral.